GAUGUUGGCUCGAUUUCACUCAGAGAAGAAGACUGCUUACUGCUUACUGCUGCAUCUGCAUGUACGUAGGAACAUAUGUUAUGGUUGGUCUCAUGAAUCUGAUUGAGCCGCGCCAAUAUC
RNAcentral lists this microRNA precursor (120 nucleotides) under Malus domestica (apple). The record is from RNAcentral. Lineage: Eukaryota; Viridiplantae; Streptophyta; Magnoliopsida; Rosales; Rosaceae.